GGAGAGGUGGCAGAGUGGUCGAAUGCACCGGUUUCGAAAACCGGCAAGGGCGCAAGCUCUUCGGGAGUUCGAAUCUCCCCCUCUCCG
RNAcentral lists this transfer RNA (87 nucleotides) under Candidatus Kaiserbacteria bacterium CG10_big_fil_rev_8_21_14_0_10_56_12. RNAcentral describes it as "tRNA-Ser". It matches the Rfam family "tRNA". From Rfam's summary of the family: Transfer RNA (tRNA) molecules are approximately 80 nucleotides in length. Their secondary structure includes four short double-helical elements and three loops (D, anti-codon, and T loops). Further hydrogen bonds mediate the characteristic L-shaped molecular structure. tRNAs have two regions of fundamental functional importance: the anti-codon, which is responsible for specific mRNA codon recognition, and the 3' end, to which the tRNAs corresponding amino acid is attached (by aminoacyl-tRNA synthetases). tRNAs cope with the degeneracy of the genetic code in two manners: having more than one tRNA (with a specific anti-codon) for a particular amino acid; and 'wobble' base-pairing, i.e. permitting non-standard base-pairing at the 3rd anti-codon position. The record is from RNAcentral. Lineage: Bacteria; Candidatus Kaiseribacteriota.